CAUUAACCAGAAGAGGAGAAACGUCAACAUUUUUAAAAGCCCCUCUGAGCCCUGUUCCAAUUUCAUUUCUUUAUUUUCCUGAUUGGAAGAGGCAGGUUUCUGGAGCUGAGUCAAAUUCAUUCAGAGGCCUACAAAAAGCCUGCCCUGUGUCUUAGAGAGGCCCUGACGCGGCCUUCUCCUACUGCUGGUGCAUCCUGGACAUCAUAAUGCUCUUCAACCUCGCUAAUCAGAGGACCAGGGGCCAGGCAGUCAUGACACUACUCCAG
Molecule: long non-coding RNA, 266 nt
Filed under: Fukomys damarensis (Damara mole-rat)
Lineage: Eukaryota; Metazoa; Chordata; Mammalia; Rodentia; Bathyergidae
Description: lncRNA (ENSFDAG00000025102.1)
Source: RNAcentral